RNAcentral lists this ribosomal RNA (439 nucleotides) under uncultured bacterium. RNAcentral's name for it is "partial 16S ribosomal RNA". It matches the Rfam family "Bacterial small subunit ribosomal RNA", at positions 338 to 795 of the family's 1533-position model. The record is from RNAcentral.
CCUACGGGAGGCAGCAGUGGGGGAUAUUGCACAAUGGAGGAAACUCUGAUGCAGCGACGCCGCGUGAGGGAAGACGGUCUUCGGAUUGUAAACCUCUGUCUUUGGGGAAGAAAAUGACGGUACCCAAAGAGGAAGCUCCGGCUAACUACGUGCCAGCAGCCGCGGUCAUACGUAGGGAGCGAGCGUUGUCCGGAAUUACUGGGUGAAAAGGGAGCGUAGGCGGGCGGGAAAGUUGAAUGUUAAAUCUACCGGCUUAACUGGUAGCUGCGUUCAAAACUUCUUGUCUUGAGUGAGGUAGAGGCAGGCGGAAUUCCUGGUGUAGCGGUGAAAUGCGUAGAUAUUAGGAGGAACACCAGUGGCGAAGGCGGCCUGCUGGGCUUUAACUGACGCUGAGGCUCGAAAGCGUGGGGAGCAAACAGGAUUAGAUACCCCGGUAGUC